This 468-nucleotide ribosomal RNA is filed under the name uncultured bacterium. RNAcentral describes it as "partial 16S ribosomal RNA". It matches the Rfam family "Bacterial small subunit ribosomal RNA", at positions 28 to 507 of the family's 1533-position model. The record is from RNAcentral.
GACGAACGCUGGCGGCGUGCUUAACACAUGCAAGUCGAACGGAAAGGCCCUGCUUUUGUGGGGUGCUCGAGUGGCGAACGGGUGAGUAACACGUGAGUAACCUGCCCUUGACUUUGGGAUAACUUCAGGAAACUGGGGCUAAUACCGGAUUGGAGCUCCUGCUGCAUGGUGGGGGUUGGAAAGUUUCGGCGGUUGGGGAUGGACUCGCGGCUUAUCAGCUUGUUGGUGGGGUAGUGGCUUACCAAGGCUUUGACGGGUAGCCGGCCUGAGAGGGUGACCGGCCACAUUGGGACUGAGAUACGGACCAGACUCCUACGGGAGGCAGCAGUGGGGAAUAUUGCACAAUGGGCGGAAGCCUGAUGCAGCAACGCCGCGUGCGGGAUGACGGCCUUCGGGUUGUAAACCGCUUUCGCCUGUGACGAAGCGUGAGUGACGGUAAUGGGUAAAGAAGCACCGGCUAACUACGUG